Long non-coding RNA from Neopelma chrysocephalum (saffron-crested tyrant-manakin), 1088 nucleotides. RefSeq lists it as uncharacterized. Lineage: Eukaryota; Metazoa; Chordata; Aves; Passeriformes; Pipridae. The transcript has 6 exons. The record is from RefSeq and is a predicted model, not a curated record.
AUGUUGGGUUCGGGCAGGCGGAGCGGCGGGGCCGGGCCGGGCUGAGGGGCCGCGGGGCGAGGGUCGGAGGAGGGCGAUGUAUCCAGCCUCCUGUGAAAUGCUGAAGGGCAAACCUGGAGAAGGGAUGAAAUCCCUGGGCUCUUAUCCCAGCAGGGAGGAACUGGGGAGCAGUUGGUGUGGUGCCAUCUCAGCCCAGCUCUGGGGGGUUGAGUUACCCAAAGGUUGGGAUGAAGCUGGAGAGCUGGGAAUCUCCAGAUGUGAAGAUCCAGGGUAGCUGCUGCUUUCACUUCCCCAUCUCCAGAAGGUGAGGAGAGUCUGCUCCUGGAGGAGAACUCUGCUCUCCUUGCCCAGCCUGGUGACACAAACCCUCCCAGGUGUAGGAAACAUUUGUCACCCAGGAGGACCCUGAAGUGGGAAGGGAAGGUGGAACCUGAUCCUUUUUGGCACUUGCUCUUCUCCAUCCCACUCUGGGCGACCAUUCCCAGCCCUUGGAGCUCAGCUUCCAGCUGGCAGGAGUGUCCUGGGCACAGGAACAGGUUGUGGGGUGUUAAAAACAGGUUAUAUCCCAUGUUACUCUGGGAAAUCCUCCUGAGUCUCUGAUGUUGGUUAAUUCCUGAAUCCAUGUCUUUGUGCGUGGGAGGAGAGACGAGUUCAUCCCUUAGGAUGAGCCAGGAGAAGCUGUGGGGUCCCAGCAGUGGGAGGAGGAGGAGGAGGAUGCAGCAGCAGGUACGGAACAGGUUUGAUUGGAGCUGCAGCUCCUGCUUUGAGUUGCUUUGGGGAUCAUUGAGUGACUCCCUCUCCCUGUGUCCCUUUCCAUGCCCUAUUCCAGGGCUGGCAGUGCACAGGGGUGGUUGUUUUGAAGUGCUCUCCUGCUCUCUGGAUGAUUCACAGUGGUAGGAGAGGCUUCCUGCCUUGCCAUGAAUGAGGGGAAAGCUCCAUUUCAUAAUGUCUCCUUACUCUUAGCAGGGCUUGUGUCUGUUCCCAAAACUCCCACUGUUUUCACUGCAGGCAUGACCAGACUGUGAAAUAGCUUGGCUGGGCUGCUGAAUAAUCUGGGAGGCUCUUUUAAUAAACUGCAGUUUUAUUUA